UAAUGAAUUGACGGGGAGCACCACAACGGAUGGAGCUUGCGGUUAAUUGGAUUCAACGCCGGAAAUCUUACCGGGACCGACAGCAAUAUGAAGGCCAGGCUGAAGACUUUGCCGGAUUAGCUGAGAGGUGGUGCAUGGCCGUCGUCAGUUCGUACUGUGAAGCAUCCUGUUAAGUCAGGCAACGAGCGAGACCCACGCCCACAGUUGCCAGCGUACUCUCUGGAGUGACGGGUACACUGUGGGGACCGCCGCUGCUAAAGCGGAGGAAGGAAUGGGCAACGGUAGGUCAGUAUGCCCCGAAUAUCCCGGGCUACACGCGAGCUACAAUGGUUGGUACAAUGGGUAUCUACCCCGAAAGGGGACGGGAAUCUCCUAAAACCAAUCUUAGUUCGGAUUGAGGGCUGCAACUCGCCCUCAUGAAGCUGGAAUCCGUAGUAAUCGCGUUUCAACAGAACGCGGUGAAUACGUCCCUGCUCCUU
Molecule: ribosomal RNA, 479 nt
Filed under: uncultured Methanosaeta sp.
Lineage: Archaea; Methanobacteriati; Methanobacteriota; Methanomicrobia; Methanotrichales; Methanotrichaceae
Description: bacterial SSU rRNA
Rfam family: Archaeal small subunit ribosomal RNA
Source: RNAcentral